Molecule: unclassified non-coding RNA, 297 nt
Filed under: Hevea brasiliensis (rubber tree)
Lineage: Eukaryota; Viridiplantae; Streptophyta; Magnoliopsida; Malpighiales; Euphorbiaceae
Source: RNAcentral
GGUUUUUUAGAGGUAUUAUUUUGUUGAGGUUUAUAGGUUGAAUUUAGGUAAAUUAGGGUUGAGAUGUAGGAAGAAUUUUAGGUAGGGAAAAUAGUAUUUUGGAAGGUUAUGUGAUUAGGGAAAUUUAGGAUAUUUAAGAAAUGAAAAAUGUUUUAUGGGAUGGAAGUUAAAGAGUGUAGAGGGUAUUUUAGGUAAAAGAUAUUAGAGAAGAAUGUGAGGAGUAAGUUUGAAGGGAAGUGGUUGUAUUUUUAAUAUGUUGGGAAAAUAUGAGAGUUGUUGGAGUAGGGAGGUGAUAGU